GACGAACGCUGGCGGCGUGCUUAACACAUGCAAGUCGAACGGUAAGGCCCUGCUUUUGUGGGGUUCUCGAGUGGCGAACGGGUGAGUAACACGUGAGUAACCUGCCCUUGACUUUGGGGUAACUUCAGGAAACUGGGGAUCAUACCGGAUAGGAGAUCCUGCUGCAUGGUGGGGGUUGGAAAGUUUCGGUGGUUGGGGAUGGACUCGCGGCUUAGCAGCUUGUUGGUGGGGUAGUGGCUUAACAAGGCAUUGACGGGUCGCCGGCCUGAGAGGGUGACCGGCCACAGAGGGACUGGGAUACGGCCAAGACUCCGACGGGAGGCAGCGAUGGGGAACAGAGCAAAAAGGGCGGAAGCCGGAUGCAGCAACGCCGCGUGCGGGAGGACGGCCGUCGGGUUGUAAACCGCUUGCGCCUGGGACGAAGCGAGAGUGACGGUAAUUUGUAAAGAAGCACCGGCUAACUACGUG
RNAcentral lists this ribosomal RNA (468 nucleotides) under uncultured bacterium. RNAcentral's name for it is "partial 16S ribosomal RNA". It matches the Rfam family "Bacterial small subunit ribosomal RNA", at positions 28 to 507 of the family's 1533-position model. The record is from RNAcentral.